Molecule: ribosomal RNA, 286 nt
Filed under: Aspergillus welwitschiae
Lineage: Eukaryota; Fungi; Ascomycota; Eurotiomycetes; Eurotiales; Aspergillaceae
Description: partial 18S ribosomal RNA
Rfam family: Eukaryotic small subunit ribosomal RNA
Source: RNAcentral
GGCACCACCAGGCGUGGAGCCUGCGGCUUAAUUUGACUCAACACGGGGAAACUCACCAGGUCCAGACAAAAUAAGGAUUGACAGAUUGAGAGCUCUUUCUUGAUCUUUUGGAUGGUGGUGCAUGGCCGUUCUUAGUUGGUGGAGUGAUUUGUCUGCUUAAUUGCGAUAACGAACGAGACCUCGGCCCUUAAAUAGCCCGGUCCGCAUUUGCGGGCCGCUGGCUUCUUAGGGGGACUAUCGGCUCAAGCCGAUGGAAGUGCGAGGCAAUAACAGGUCUGUGAUGAUC